UCCACAAUAUAUUUAUUAGCUCCAUGGAUAAAAGGACAUUAUUCAUUUCGUUUGAUAUUCAACCAUAUUCGAUAUUACAACGUCGAAAGUUGCACUCAAGAGGAGAAAGAAGUAUAGGUUAAAUACAUGGGUAAAGAUUGCUCAGUAUGGCAUCCAUUGAGCACCAACCCUGUCGCGCGGAAUUAGACGCAGUUCAGAGCCAUGUUUAAGAAAAACAUUACCAGCACUUUGUUGAGGAUUAAUACCCACUCCAUCAUUAGUGAUAAUGGCGCUAGUUUGUGGAGGUACUUUGAAUUCCUCAGCAGCAAAUUUCAGCACAGCGGUGAACGGAGCAGCUUCCGGAACGCUAAAAACUUUGAAAGGCAAUUUAGGAUCGGAAGUGAGAGUGACUUUGAACGAAACUUUUCCUCCACCACCAGUAGCACCGCCGCCGGUCGCCAUUUUUUUUCUAUCGGAGUUGCGACGGAGAAAAGCGUUACGGGAUUAGAUUUAUGGGCG
This 498-nucleotide unclassified non-coding RNA is filed under the name Hevea brasiliensis (rubber tree). The record is from RNAcentral. Lineage: Eukaryota; Viridiplantae; Streptophyta; Magnoliopsida; Malpighiales; Euphorbiaceae.